GGCGUGUACUGCUUGGCUGGGCCUUACUUCUUGGUGAGCCGGCGUGCCCUUUAUUGGUGUGCGUCGGGGAACCAGGACUUUUACCUUGAGAAAAUUAGAGUGUUCAAAGCAGGCCUAUGCCUGAAUACAUUAGCAUGGAAUAAUAGAAUAGGACGUGCGGUUCUAUUUUGUUGGUUUCUAGAGUCGCCGUAAUGAUUAAUAGGGACAGUUGGGGGCAUUGGUAUUGAGUCGCUAGAGGUGAAAUUCUUGGAUUGACUCAAGACCGACUAUUGCGAAAGCAUUUGCCAAGGAUGUUUUCAUUAAUCAAGAACGAAGGUUAGGGGAUCGAAAACGAUCAGAUACCGUUGUAGUCUUAACAGUAAACUAUGCCGACUAGGGAUCGGAUGACCUCAAAAUUGAUGUGUCAUUCGGCACCUUACGAGAAAUCAAAGUCUUUGGGUUCUGGGGGGAGCAUGGUCGCAAGGCUGAAACUUAAAGGAAUUGACGGAAGGGCACCACCAGGUGUGGAGCCUGCGGCUUAAUUUGACUCAACACGGGGAAACUCACCAGGUCCAGACAUAACUAGGAUUGACAGAUUGAUAGCUCUUUCAUGAUUUUAUGGGUGGUGGUGCAUGGCCGUUCUUAGUUGGUGGAGUGAUUUGUCUGGUUAAUUCCGAUAACGAACGAGACCUUAACCUGCUAAAUAGCCAGGCCGGCUUCGGCUGGUCUCUGGCUUCUUAGAGGGACUGUCAG
RNAcentral lists this ribosomal RNA (732 nucleotides) under uncultured eukaryote. RNAcentral's name for it is "SSU rRNA". It matches the Rfam family "Eukaryotic small subunit ribosomal RNA", at positions 672 to 1426 of the family's 1831-position model. The record is from RNAcentral.